This is a long non-coding RNA of Pseudophryne corroboree (corroboree frog), 709 nucleotides long. RefSeq lists it as uncharacterized. The transcript has 2 exons. The record is from RefSeq and is a predicted model, not a curated record. Lineage: Eukaryota; Metazoa; Chordata; Amphibia; Anura; Myobatrachidae.
UCGGCAAUCACCAAUUAAGAGACAGUCCAAGAGCAGAGGACUAUGUCCCUCCUGGAGAAGGUCAUGUUGGGGAAGUAUGAGAUCUGCAGCAAUGAUGGACCAAUGAAGACCAGGAACCACAUGAAAAUUAAGUGGGUCCUUGGCAUUAUGGGUCCGCAUCUUUAGCCUGACAUAUAGAAAGAAAAUUUGACAGCAGAUAAGAACCACUUGGCCCAUCUAGUCUGCCCCUUUUUUCCUUUACGUAUUCUUAACACUUUCUGAUCUUCAUUUCUUUGUAAGGAUAUGGUAGGCCAUAAGGAAUCAUGAAAUGCUGACCACACAAAGGAAGCCAUCUGAGAAGGUUAUUUUAUUGCAGAAAGUGAAGAAAGACUGGAGAUCUCAAGUUAGUUCAAUGGAGGAAGAAGGCCAGCCAUUCAAGUCAACAUGAGACAAGCAUUGGCAGAGGUCAUCACUGAGUUCCUCCAUGCACCUGGAGGUCGUCAUCAGCACCAGUGAUACCUGAGUCUGGGAUGUGAGCAUGUUAUAAGGUGUCAGCAACAUAGGGGUCCUUUCCACAUUUGCUCACCACAUCCAGAUGGUACCUUUGGAGCUUGAGCAUGCAAGGUUGAAUUUGUGCUGAGGCAGUAUGCAAGGGUUUGCAAAGAAUGGUAAUCAUGGGUUGAUGGUCUGUCUUAAUCAUAAAUAAAUUCAUAAAACUUUUUACAAGCAA